GCACCAGGUGCAGUGGCUCAGCUACUCGGGAGGCUGAGGUGGGAGGAUCACUUGAGCCCAGGAGUUCUGGGCUGUAGUGUGCUAUGCUGAUCGGGUGUCCGCACUAAGUUCGGCAUCAAUAUGGUGACCUCCUGGGAGUGGGGGACCACCCGGUUGCCUAAGGAGGGGUGAACCAGCCCAGGUCAGAAAUGGAGCAGGUCAAAACUCCUGUGCUGAUCAAUAGUAGGAUCGUGCCUGUGAAUAGCCACUGCACUCCAGCCUGGGCAACAUAGUGAGACCCCGUCUCU
RNAcentral lists this signal recognition particle RNA (287 nucleotides) under Aotus nancymaae (Ma's night monkey). RNAcentral describes it as "Metazoan signal recognition particle RNA (ENSANAG00000010358.1)". It matches the Rfam family "Metazoan signal recognition particle RNA". Rfam says of the family: The signal recognition particle (SRP) is a universally conserved ribonucleoprotein. Lineage: Eukaryota; Metazoa; Chordata; Mammalia; Primates; Aotidae. The record is from RNAcentral.